Molecule: ribosomal RNA, 349 nt
Filed under: uncultured bacterium
Lineage: Bacteria
Description: bacterial SSU rRNA
Rfam family: Bacterial small subunit ribosomal RNA
Source: RNAcentral
UAGGGAAUAUUGCACAAUGGGCGAAAGCCCGAUGCAGCAACGCCGCGUGGGCGAUGAAGGCCUUCGGGUCGUAAAGCCCUUUUUGAGGGGAUGAGGAAGGACAGUACCCUCAGAAUAAACCUCGGCUAACUCCGUGCCAGCAGCCGCGGUAAAACGUAGGAGGCGAGCGUUAUCCGGAUUUACUGGGCGUAAAGCGCGUGCAGGCGGAUUGGAGAGUUGGAUGUGAAAGCUCCCGGCUUAACUGGGAGAGGUCGUUCAAUACUUCCAGUCUUGAGUGCAGUAGAGGGAAGUGGAAUUCCAGGUGUAGUGGUGAAAUGCGUAGAUAUCCGGAGGAACAACAGUGGCGAAA